GACGAACGCUGGCGGCGUGCCUAAUACAUGCAAGUUGAGCGAUGAAGAUUGGUGCUUGCACCAAUUUGAAGAGCAGCGAACGGGUGAGUAACGCGUGGGGAAUCUGCCUUUGAGCGGGGGACAACAUUUGGAAACGAAUGCUAAUACCGCAUAAUAACUUUAAACAUAAGUUUUAAGUUUGAAAGAUGCAAUUGCAUCACUCAAAGAUGAUCCCGCGUUGUAUUAGCUAGUUGGUGAGGUAAAGGCUCACCAAGGCGAUGAUACAUAGCCGACCUGAGAGGGUGAUCGGCCACAUUGGGACUGAGACACGGCCCAAACUCCUACGGGAGGCAGCAGUAGGGAAUCUUCGGCAAUGGACGAAAGUCUGACCGAGCAACGCCGCGUGAGUGAAGAAGGUUUUCGGAUCGUAAAACUCUGUUGGUAGAGAAGAACGUUGGUGAGAGUGGAAAGCUCAUCAAGUGACGGUAACUACCCAGAAAGGGACGGCUAACUACGUGCCAGCAGCCGCGGUAAUACGUAGGUCCCGAGCGUUGUCCGGAUUUAUUGGGCGUAAAGCGAGCGCAGGUGGUUUAUUAAGUCUGGUGUAAAAGGCAGUGGCUCAACCAUUGUAUGCAUUGGAAACUGGUAGACUUGAGUGCAGGAGAGGAGAGUGGAAUUCCAUGUGUAGCGGUGAAAUGCGUAGAUAUAUGGAGGAACACCGGUGGCGAAAGCGGCUCUCUGGCCUGUAACUGACGCUGAAGCGCGAAAGCGUGGGUAGCAAACAGG
Molecule: ribosomal RNA, 765 nt
Filed under: uncultured Lactococcus sp.
Lineage: Bacteria; Bacillati; Bacillota; Bacilli; Lactobacillales; Streptococcaceae
Description: bacterial SSU rRNA
Rfam family: Bacterial small subunit ribosomal RNA
Source: RNAcentral